RNAcentral lists this long non-coding RNA (512 nucleotides) under Homo sapiens (human). RNAcentral's name for it is "HSALNT0291902". The record is from RNAcentral. Lineage: Eukaryota; Metazoa; Chordata; Mammalia; Primates; Hominidae.
GCGGAAGGGCAGAGGUGCUGGAGAGAGGCCCCAGGCCCCUCCGCCACCGAGGAAGCAAAGAACCCCGUGAACCAAGUCGCCACUCGAGAUUUUACCCAGUGAGAACAUGUUUAGGACACUUUUCUACAGUGGAAGAAAAGCUUCUGUCUGCAGGUCCAAAGGCACCGUCCUGAGUUGGAAAAAGAUGAAUCAGACCCAGUCCCUCCCUGGAGUUGCUCAGAGGUCUGGAGGAGAAAGGCAUAGAGGGGCCAUGAUUGAUAUGGAGAGAACAGCUUGUGUGUAGGAGAGAUGUGUAUUUCACGAAGACUGUUCAACAUGAAAUUUACAGUCCCAUAAAGUGCUUCUACAUCUUCGCCAGAGAUCUAGUUAAAAGGACUUUACAGUCUGAAACAUCCUAAAAUUGAUUCUAAAUUAACAUUUCCUCACAUGUAUUUGAGAUAUUGAUGGGGCCCAGCUAUCAGAAUUUUAUUAGGAAGCAAUAAUCUGAGGCAUGCGGAGACAGACAUACAUAC